UUGGUUUCUCUCCAUGGUUUCAAAGACCAUGCUGUCAGGGACAAACUGACCAGUACACAGCUUCAUGUCAGAGCCUGAUCCAGGGCACUGUAGAGGGGAAAGGAAGGGGACCCCUUCCUAGGGCUGCUGGGCUCAGGAGGCAGAGCUGUGCAGGGCUUUGGCAUGGACUUGCUGUAUCAGUCUGUUUUCAAAAUGGCUAUUCUGCUUCUCAGGGUUUGCAGAAGACUUCCAACAGCCAAAAGGACCACAGAAAAGAUUUUUAAGGGAUCAGAUAUAUAAGAAAUGUAAGGGCACAGGUCAAAAGCUAACAUUUUCAAGAGCAGAUAAAGCCCUAAGGCUGUAAACAACUCAGUGUGGGACAGCUGACUGUGUACAGGUGAUUGUCUAGAACAGCUACUGUGAUGUGCUCUCCAGGAGAUGAGAUCAGCUGGCAAAAACCAGGAUGUGUAUUUACAGAGCCUGCUGCAAGGGCCACUGACGUGUCAGUAUGCCAGGCACAAAGGGGAGGUUUUGUCAAGUUUCCAGGAGGAUGUGCUCCAGGAUCUUUCCAGGCACGAAGGCGGGACUGACUGGUCUGCAGUUCCUCAGGGAGCAAAUUUGUUGCCUGUUUUUUCCCAGUGAUUUAUUCAGCCAGGCCACUUGUGCUGCAGUGUCUUGUCUUAUGGAUGGAGGACAGAGUAUUCACUUGUAUAUUCCUGCAGUGAAUAAAGAAGAUAAGAGAGAAAGGAGCAGAUGUUUUUUGAAAUACACUAGCUCAAAAAAGAUUUAUAGUAAUGACUGUAGAGCCCAUAUCCAAACAAAUUCAGUAAGCAAAUGCCUACUUCUACUAGCGAGGGUUUGUGUUGACGGAAUGUAAUUUUUUAUUUAUGGUUAAAGAUUGACCUGGCGUGGAGAGCAGGGGAAAGUAAACCAUUUGUUAUUUCAGUCCUCUGUUUCCGUCUUGGAUUAUACUUUUUGCAUGUGGAGACACGUUGCAGGGAAUUGCCCAUAUGGGUAAAGUGACCUCCAGGCAGGAGGUGACUCACCACUGCUUCCCUAGGCUGCAGCCAUCCAGUCCCACUGUGCCACACUCCAUUGCUCUCAACAGCUCUUGGGGGCUCAGCUGUGUACAAGUUUAAGUGCUUUGCCACCUGAAGAGCAAGUGCAAACACACAGUGAAAUGUGAAGAUGAUCCCAUGUUUGGUCAGGUUCUUGGGAAAUGCUUUUGCAGAGGAAAGUCUGACUCAUUUCUUUGACUCUGAAAAGAUAUUCCACACCUUUGUGUGAGCUGUGUGUGAGAAAGUAUAUAGAAUCAUAGAAUAGUUUGGGUUGGAAGGAUCCUUGAAGGCUAUCUAAUUUCAAUCCUCCUGCCAUAUGCAGGGACACAUUCCACUAGAUCAGGUUGCUCAGAGCCCCAUUCAACCUGACCUUAAACACUUGCAGGAAUGCGUCUUCCACAGUUUCUCUGGUCAUUCUAUGCCAGCGCCUCACCACCCUUACAGUAAAGAAUUUUUUCCUUAUAG
Motacilla alba alba is the source of this 1502-nucleotide long non-coding RNA. RefSeq lists it as uncharacterized. The transcript is spliced from 3 exons. The record is from RefSeq and is a predicted model, not a curated record. NCBI's taxonomy places the organism in Eukaryota, Metazoa, Chordata, Aves, Passeriformes, Motacillidae.